This 466-nucleotide ribosomal RNA is filed under the name uncultured Alphaproteobacteria bacterium. RNAcentral's name for it is "bacterial SSU rRNA". It matches the Rfam family "Bacterial small subunit ribosomal RNA", at positions 9 to 524 of the family's 1533-position model. Lineage: Bacteria; Pseudomonadati; Pseudomonadota; Alphaproteobacteria. RNAcentral also lists the same sequence under 1 other name. The record is from RNAcentral.
GAGUUUGAUCAUGGCUCAGAGCGAACGCUGGCGGCAGGCCUAAUACAUGCAAGCCGAACGGCUCUUCGGAGCAGUGGCGGACGGGUGAGUAACGCGUGGGAACGUGCCCUUUGGUUCGGAACAACACAGGGAAACUUGUGCUAAUACCGAAUGUGCCCUUCGGGGAAAGAUUUAUCGCCAUUGGGGCGGCCCGCGUUGGAUUAGCUAGUUGGUGGGGUAAAGGCCCACCAAGGCGACGAUCCAUAGCUGGUCUGAGAGGAUGAUCAGCCACACUGGGACUGAGACACGGCCCAGACUCCUACGGGAGGCAGCAGUAGGGAAUCUUGCGCAAUGGGCGAAAGCCUGACGCAGCCAUGCCGCGUGAAUGAUGAAGGUCUUAGGAUUGUAAAAUUCUUUCACCGGGGAAGAUAAUGACGGUACCCGGAGAAGAAGCCCCGGCUAACUUCGUGCCAGCCGCCGCCGUAAC